Molecule: ribosomal RNA, 777 nt
Filed under: Triticum aestivum (bread wheat)
Lineage: Eukaryota; Viridiplantae; Streptophyta; Magnoliopsida; Poales; Poaceae
Description: partial small subunit ribosomal RNA
Source: RNAcentral
AUGGCCGCUCUGAUCACGAGGCUGCUCCACCACCACAACCGCCGCCUCCUCGCCUCCGCUCGUCGCCUGCCGCGCGCUCCCCUUGGCGGCGCCAUCUACAAGGAUGUUGCAAAGGCUGAAGCAUCCUCUUUAAAAAAUUCAAGGUGGUACAUGACCAAGUCAAGCCCUUUUAGUCCUCUGACAAUGCAGGAGUACCGCAAAACAUUUCCUUCUUUAUUAAGGUCAUCUGCAUCUUACUCCUCACAAGCUUCAGACCAAAAUCCCAAAGAGGAGAAAAAGGACUUGUCAACUGUUGGAGAUCCCUUCGAUGCCCCUACAUAUAAUAUACCUGAGAAACCGGUGACUUUUGCUGAGGGGGCUUCUUACAGUGUUGUAAUACUCGCGGGGCUUGGAGUUGCAGCAUUAGCUGGAUAUUCUGUUUUCAAGGAGCUUAUUUUUGAACCAAAAGAGUACAAGAUCUUUGGGAAAGCUCUAGCAAGAGUUCAGAGUGAUAGUCAGGUUACAGCGAGAAUUGGGUACCCUAUUACUGGUUAUGGUAAUGAAAGCAGAAACCGUGCAGCCCGACAGCGUAUUCCAAACAGGGUUUGGACAGAUGAGGACGGUGUUGAACAUGUGGAGGUCAACUUUUACAUCCGAGGUCCGCAUGGAGCUGGAAAGGUAUAUUCAGAGAUGUUCAAAGAUAACUCUGACAGGACAUGGAAGUUCAUGUACCUUCUUGUUGAGUUUACAGCACCGCUACAGGGACAAGUAAUGUUAGAAUCUUACAUACCAGCGUAA